This is a long non-coding RNA of Syngnathus acus (greater pipefish), 600 nucleotides long. RefSeq lists it as uncharacterized. NCBI's taxonomy places the organism in Eukaryota, Metazoa, Chordata, Actinopteri, Syngnathiformes, Syngnathidae. The record is from RefSeq and is a predicted model, not a curated record. The transcript has 5 exons.
CUCUCACCUGGGUCAGAGCCAGGACGGCGACGGCUCGUUUCUGGUAGGCGCCGAACUCCCCGACCACCUGAAAAGCUUCCUCCACGUCCAUCCCGAUAGACAGCUGCAGCAAAGAUGAUGAAACAAACAAGAGACUCUAAGCCUGGAGAAAGAGGAGCAUCUGUAUUAAAAACUGACCGAACUCCACAAGAUUGCAAAGCGGCCUUGUGUUUGGGGGGGCCAUUUGAAGACAUGCAUGUUUCCAAGAAGACCAUGGACAGACUCUACACAAUAUGCGUGGUGGUGUGACUCAUGCAAAGAGGGCCAUCAAGAAGACUGCUUUGUUAGCACUGAGUAAUCCCAAGGUCAACAAUGGGUGGUGCCCGAUGUCCAUCGAGUUCAUCUUUGUAGAAGCUGUUGGGGACAUGCACAAAAAGGCCUCGGGUGAUAAAACAAGGACAGCAAUGGCUUUAGAAUUAAAACAGGCUCCAGCGCUGAGUGGCAGAAGGGGCUAACAAAAGCCCACAAGAGAGUGAUGUUUAUUUUGUUUUCCGCUUGUGUUUGGCCGAGCAGAUUGUAUUGUUUAUUUGAUAUGUCCUACAUAAACAGUAUGUUCCGUAA